CUAACUGUUUUGUAUUUUGAAAGAUCCAAAUAAAUAUCUGUUCUUAUCAGCUUAAUUUCUGGUAUGAAUCCCAAGCGGAUUCGUUAGAAAUUUGCAUAAGUUUUUGUGAAAUUAGGCUUUUGGUUGAGUGCUCGCACCACCAUUUGCCGCGGGUCGUCC
This 159-nucleotide small nuclear RNA is filed under the name Trichinella nelsoni. Its description in RNAcentral is "U2 spliceosomal RNA". It matches the Rfam family "U2 spliceosomal RNA", at positions 1 to 156 of the family's 192-position model. Rfam says of the family: U2 is a small nuclear RNA (snRNA) component of the spliceosome (involved in pre-mRNA splicing). Complementary binding between U2 snRNA (in an area lying towards the 5' end but 3' to hairpin I) and the branchpoint sequence (BPS) of the intron results the bulging out of an unpaired adenosine, on the BPS, which initiates a nucleophilic attack at the intronic 5' splice site, thus starting the first of two transesterification reactions that mediate splicing. Lineage: Eukaryota; Metazoa; Nematoda; Enoplea; Trichinellida; Trichinellidae. The record is from Rfam by way of RNAcentral.